RNAcentral lists this long non-coding RNA (568 nucleotides) under Gallus gallus (chicken). The record is from RNAcentral. Lineage: Eukaryota; Metazoa; Chordata; Aves; Galliformes; Phasianidae.
GCUGUGUAUCACGGGAAAACAUCUUGCCAUCAAAAUCUAUUAACCUAAGAGACUGUCCUGCAAAAAAUGACGACUCCUCAUCACUUGAGAUGCUCUUCAUUAGUAAGAACAAAACCCUCCUCUGACUUACAAGUCUUUUCUCUUUCUGAAAAACUGUAAGUUUAAUGGCUUACCUUGAACAAGGUAAUCAGUAGCUUCACUUUCCACCUCUUGACUGAGCUGCUUGGUUUUCUGCAGAUAUUUCAGGACAAAAACAUUGGGAGCAAAGUGGAUCAUGUUCUGCUCUCCACAUCCAAAUGGCAAUCGCAGAAGGUUGUCCAAGUUGUUCAACGUAGGACCCAUCACAUCUCCUAUUAUUGAAGCUGUAGCUCUUUCUGAUCCUGGAAUUAUGUUGUGGGGAACUCCAAGAGUAAAUGCUUCAUUGUGAUUUUCAUCAGUCUCUUCUUUCCUCCAAAUUUUAAACUCUCCUAUUGACCCCCAGCCUGUGGAAAAGCCAAUGUACUUCACCUCGAACUGCUUGGGGACUGUCCACUCCACAAUAAUAGACUCAUUUAGCACCCGAGUACCA